Molecule: ribosomal RNA, 497 nt
Filed under: uncultured bacterium
Lineage: Bacteria
Description: partial 16S ribosomal RNA
Rfam family: Bacterial small subunit ribosomal RNA
Source: RNAcentral
GAUGAACGCUGGCGGCGUGCCUAACACAUGCAAGUCGAGCGAACAGACGAGGAGCUUGCUCUUCUGACGUUAGCGGCGGACGGGUGGGUAACACGUGGAUAACCUCCCUAUAUGACUGGGAUAACUUCGGGAAACCGGAGCUAAUACCCGAUAAUCUACUGAACCGCAUGGGUCAAUAGUGAAAGACGCUUUUGCUGUUACUUAUAGAUGGAUCCGCGCCGCAUUAGCUAGUUGGUAAGGUAACGGCAUACCAAGGCGACGAUGCGUAGCCGACCUGAGAGGAGGAUCAGCCACACUGGAACUGAGACACGGUCCAGACUCCUACGGGAGGCAGCAGUGGGGAAUCUUCCGCAAUGGGCGAAAGCCUGACGGAGCAACGCCGCGUGGGUGAUGAAGGUCUUCGGGUCGUAAAGCUCUGUUAUUAGGGAAGAAAAGAAGUGGAAGUAUAUAUGGCCGUCGUGACGGUACCUAAUCAGAAAGCCCCGGCUAACUACGUG